This 402-nucleotide unclassified non-coding RNA is filed under the name Hevea brasiliensis (rubber tree). Lineage: Eukaryota; Viridiplantae; Streptophyta; Magnoliopsida; Malpighiales; Euphorbiaceae. The record is from RNAcentral.
AAAGAAAUCUUCAGGCUGAACUCCUGCAAGGCCAAAAAUGAAUCAAUAAACUAGACAACUAAUGUGUUCAAUAAAUAACAGAAGGAUUUUAAAUAAAUGUUAUAUGGCCAUUGCUUGGUGCAACAGCAAUAGUCUUAGGCUUGCAAGCAUAAGACUGCAGGUAUGAGUCCAGAUAGCAAACACUUCUAGUGAAAUACUUGAGGAUAGAGCUUUCUCUAAUUUUGUGUCCUAGGCCACUUGGAUAGAAACAAUAACUGGGUAAUGACUUAAUCUGAUAAAUGUCAUGAUGACCGGAAAAUAAGUUGCACAGAAACAGAAAUAAAUAAAUAUGGAAAAGAAAAUAAAUACAUAAAUAAAGGCAAUAGAUAAAUGUGUUUAAAACAAUACUUUCCAUGAACUUGA